This 388-nucleotide ribosomal RNA is filed under the name uncultured bacterium. Its description in RNAcentral is "bacterial SSU rRNA". It matches the Rfam family "Bacterial small subunit ribosomal RNA", at positions 30 to 419 of the family's 1533-position model. The record is from RNAcentral.
AUUGAACGCUGGCGGCAUGCCUUACACAUGCAAGUCGAACGGCAGCACGGGAGCAAUCCUGGUGGCGAGUGGCGAACGGGUGAGUAAUAUAUCGGAACGUGCCCGGUCGUGGGGAUAACGUAGCGAAAGCUACGCUAAUACCGCAUACGAUCUAUGGAUGAAAGCGGGGGAUCGCAAGACCUCGCGCGAUUGGAGCGGCCGAUAUCAGAUUAGGUAGUUGGUGAGGUAAAGGCUCACCAAGCCGACGAUCUGUAGCUGGUCUGAGAGGACGACCAGCCACACUGGGACUGAGACACGGCCCAGACUCCUACGGGAGGCAGCAGUGGGGAAUUUUGGACAAUGGGCGCAAGCCUGAUCCAGCAAUGCCGCGUGCAGGAUGAAGGCCUUC